GCGCCUUUAGCUCAGCUGGAUAGAGUGCAUGACUACGAAUCAUGAGGUCAGGAGUUCGAAUCUCUUAAGGCGCGCCA
This 77-nucleotide transfer RNA is filed under the name Clostridiales bacterium. Its description in RNAcentral is "tRNA-Arg". It matches the Rfam family "tRNA". From Rfam's summary of the family: Transfer RNA (tRNA) molecules are approximately 80 nucleotides in length. Their secondary structure includes four short double-helical elements and three loops (D, anti-codon, and T loops). The record is from RNAcentral. RNAcentral also lists the same sequence under 2 other names. Lineage: Bacteria; Bacillati; Bacillota; Clostridia; Eubacteriales.